CUGCAUGAGUUGCAUCUUGCUGUAAAUAUGGACGAACAGUGAACUGAUGGAAACUAGGUGAGAGUGUUCUUUAAGUCUUGAACGCUCACAACGGGACUGUCACAUAGUU
Molecule: non-coding RNA, 109 nt
Organism: Triticum aestivum (bread wheat)
Lineage: Eukaryota; Viridiplantae; Streptophyta; Magnoliopsida; Poales; Poaceae
Source: Rfam